Molecule: long non-coding RNA, 151 nt
Organism: Thalassophryne amazonica
Lineage: Eukaryota; Metazoa; Chordata; Actinopteri; Batrachoidiformes; Batrachoididae
Exons: 6
Source: RefSeq, a predicted model, not a curated record
GGCAGGAAGUGUGCAGUGAAAUUCUUUGUAUAUAACAAGCAAGUUUUUCAACUUUAUUAUGUCAUCAAGUUUUAGGAUUUGGGAUGUUAGGAACAGUGUGUUAGUAUGGUCCCUAAAGCCAACGUUAUGCACAAUCCUAAUAGCUUUUUUU